GGCAACCUUUUUCUAUAUGUUGCUCGUGAGCCGCCAAGUACCAGUCUCGCAACAGUAUUGGCGUUAAAGGAUCGGUCCUUCACUUGUGAUCUUCGACCCAAGACAAUGGAAGGGAGCUAA
Molecule: ribosomal RNA, 120 nt
Filed under: Triticum aestivum (bread wheat)
Lineage: Eukaryota; Viridiplantae; Streptophyta; Magnoliopsida; Poales; Poaceae
Description: partial small subunit ribosomal RNA
Source: RNAcentral